GAUGAACGCUGGCGGCGUGCCUAAUACAUGCAAGUCGAGCGAACAGACGAGGAGCUUGCUCCUCUGACGUUAGCGGCGGACGGGUGAGUAACACGUGGAUAACCUACCUAUAAGACUGGGAUAACUUCGGAAACCGGGCCUAAUACCGGAUAAUAUUUUUAACCCCUUGGUUCAAUUGUGAAAGUCGGUUUUGCUGUCACUUAUUCAUUGCUUCGCGCCGCAUUAGCUAGUUGGUAAGGUAACGGCUUACCAAGGCAACGAUGCGUAGCCGACCUGAGAGGGUGAUCGGCCACACUGGAACUGAGACACGGUCCAGACUCCUACGGGAGGCAGCAGUAGGGAAUCUUCCGCAAUGGGCGAAAGCUUGACGGAGCAACGCCGCGUGAGUGAUGAAGGUCUUCGGAUCGUAAAACUCUGUUAUUAGGGAAGAACAAAUGUGUAAGUAACUAUGCACGGAGUGACGGUACCUAAUCAGAAAGCAACGGCUAACUACGUG
This 496-nucleotide ribosomal RNA is filed under the name uncultured bacterium. Its description in RNAcentral is "partial 16S ribosomal RNA". It matches the Rfam family "Bacterial small subunit ribosomal RNA", at positions 28 to 507 of the family's 1533-position model. The record is from RNAcentral.